This 32-nucleotide small RNA is filed under the name Bombyx mori (domestic silkworm). Its description in RNAcentral is "ovarian small RNA-21635". The record is from RNAcentral. Lineage: Eukaryota; Metazoa; Arthropoda; Insecta; Lepidoptera; Bombycidae.
UACUUCGGUUUCGCGAGGGCCGUAUUGCUCUC